This 262-nucleotide unclassified non-coding RNA is filed under the name Hevea brasiliensis (rubber tree). The record is from RNAcentral. Lineage: Eukaryota; Viridiplantae; Streptophyta; Magnoliopsida; Malpighiales; Euphorbiaceae.
GUCGUUUCCAUUUACUUUGGCUGCAGUUGUCACCUCGGCACCAUCAUUGCAAGCAGAUAAAUUUGAUGGUUCAUCUUGUCCACAAUCAUGUGUAUCAACGGGAGUUUCUUUAAUGGGAACUUUAGCAGAUGAUUCAACAUUCGGUUUCAAAUCACAGUCAUCAUCCAAAACAUCACCACGACUGCCUACAGUAGCUUCUGUCCUACUGUUAUCAUCUCCGCAAGAGUCUUCAACUAGCUUGAUUUUCAGAUCCGGACAAUCU